RNAcentral lists this ribosomal RNA (253 nucleotides) under uncultured bacterium. Its description in RNAcentral is "partial 16S ribosomal RNA". It matches the Rfam family "Bacterial small subunit ribosomal RNA", at positions 524 to 776 of the family's 1533-position model. The record is from RNAcentral.
UACGUAGGGUCCGAGCGUUAAUCGGAAUUACUGGGCGUAAAGCGUGCGCAGGCGGUUUUGUAAGCCAGAUGUGAAAUCCCCGGGCUUAACCUGGGAAUGGCAUUUGGGACUGCAAGGCUUGAGUGCGGCAGAGGGGGGUGGAAUUCCACGUGUAGCAGUGAAAUGCGUAGAGAUGUGGAGGAACACCGAUGGCGAAGGCAGCCCCCUGGGUCGACACUGACGCUCAUGCACGAAAGCGUGGGGAGCAAACAGG